This 77-nucleotide transfer RNA is filed under the name Acidobacteriota bacterium. RNAcentral's name for it is "Acidobacteria bacterium tRNA-Arg". It matches the Rfam family "tRNA". Rfam says of the family: Transfer RNA (tRNA) molecules are approximately 80 nucleotides in length. Their secondary structure includes four short double-helical elements and three loops (D, anti-codon, and T loops). Lineage: Bacteria; Pseudomonadati; Acidobacteriota. The record is from RNAcentral. RNAcentral also lists the same sequence under 2 other names.
GCGCCCGUAGCUCAAUUGGAUAGAGCGUCGGCCUCCGGAGCCGAAGGUUACAGGUUCGAGUCCUGUCGGGCGCGCCA